UGGAGAAGACCCACACCAGCACGAUCAUGAUGGCCGCCCUUUUGGGAGUCCUUUUAGCAGAAUACUCCACCGCAUCAGUGAUGGCCCAGUAGCGGUCCAAGGCGAUGACACAGAGAUGCAUGAUGGAAGCAGUGCAACAGGUGAUAUCCGACGACAGCCAGAAGUCGCAGACCACCUGGCCUAGUGUCCAGCGUCCAGUGACCGUGUACAUGGUGCUGAUGGGCAUCACCAGGAUGGACACGAGCAGGUGAAAUCGUCAGCAAAGCCUCCAGCACUGAACAACCUUUUCCUGUGUAGCCAUAGACCAUAGCCAGUCUCCUCUCCAACAGCCUCACUAUCUCUGAAAGUUGAAUUUCAAAGCAAAACUGCAAAACUUCAAGUAUCAUUUACAAGAAGGAUCUAUGCGAGGCACAAAGCAAAUCUCAAGCAACUGAAACUGACAGUUAAUCAAAAAAGAUGAUUAAGAAAAUAGCUGUAAUCAAAGGAAAUAACUUCUCUAUCAACAAUCAGCAUAGGCCACGACUGCAAGCUCCUGCUGCCUGCACUUCCUUGCCAUGAUGGACUGUACCUUGAAUCCUGUACUAAAAGAAACCUGUUCUUUCAUAAGUUGCUUUCGUCAGAGUAGAAUGCUCACAGCAACAGAAGAGAAA
RNAcentral lists this long non-coding RNA (650 nucleotides) under Mus pahari (shrew mouse). RNAcentral's name for it is "lncRNA (MGP_PahariEiJ_G0002303.1)". Lineage: Eukaryota; Metazoa; Chordata; Mammalia; Rodentia; Muridae. The record is from RNAcentral.